Beta vulgaris subsp. vulgaris (sugar beet) is the source of this 309-nucleotide long non-coding RNA. RefSeq lists it as uncharacterized. Lineage: Eukaryota; Viridiplantae; Streptophyta; Magnoliopsida; Caryophyllales; Amaranthaceae. The record is from RefSeq and is a predicted model, not a curated record. The transcript is spliced from 3 exons.
CAGCGCUGAACAACCGUUAACCAUUUCUGUGUGGGACGAUCUUACAGGGACAGAAGCCAACCUCUUGAAAUCAUGGGUUGGGCCAGCCCUUGUCGUUGGCUUCACAUCUCUCAAACCAUCUAGCCACAAAGGUUUUUCUCUUUCAACUACUAUGUCAACUUCAUUUCACCGCAAUCCAGUUGGAGAUAGAGCAGAUGCACUACGCCAAUGGUCCAGGGAAAAGCGUGCACUGGUGCUUUCAAGGAUGGAACGCAUUCAGGAGGUUCGGAAUCCAACCGAACAAAAUGAAGUCCUCUCGAUUGAGUCGAU